Molecule: ribosomal RNA, 253 nt
Filed under: uncultured bacterium
Lineage: Bacteria
Description: partial 16S ribosomal RNA
Rfam family: Bacterial small subunit ribosomal RNA
Source: RNAcentral
UACGUAGGGUGCAAGCGUUGUCCGGAAUUAUUGGGCGUAAAGAGCGUGUAGGCGGUUAGGUAGGUCCGUUGUGAAAACUCGAGGCUCAACCUCGAGACGUCGGCGGAAACCAUCUGGCUAGAGUCCGGAAGAGGAGAGUGGAAUUCCUGGUGUAGCGGUGAAAUGCGCAGAUAUCGGGAAGAACACCCGUGGCGAAGGCGGCUCUCUGGGACGGUACUGACGCUGAGACGCGAAAGCGUGGGGAGCGAACAGG